CAAAAACAUCGCCUCUUGAAACCUAUAAGAGGUCCAGCCUGCCCAGUGACCAUGUUAAACGGCCGCGGUAUACUAACCGUGCAAAGGUAGCGCAAUCACUUGUCUCUUAAAUAGAGACCUGUAUGAAUGGCAUCACGAGAAUUUAACUGUCUCCUUUUUCCAAUCAGUGAAACUAAUCCCCCUGUGAAAAAGCAGGGAUACUUAUAUAAGACGAGAAGACCCUAUGAAGCUUUAAAUAUUUUAACAAGUGCUCACAACACACCCUUUAAGAAGCCCAACAUGCAGCACAUUGAUUAUAAGUUUUUGGUUGGGGUGACCGCGGAGAAAAAUCAAACCCCCGCACUAAUGAACCUAAAAUUCAAAACUAAAGUCACAACUUUACAAUCAAUAAAUUGGCACAAUUGACCCAAAUAUUUGAUCAAUGAACUAAGUUACUCUAGGGAUAACAGCGCAAUCCACUUCAAGAGCACAUAUCGACAAGUGGGCUUACGACCUCGAUGUUGGAUCAGGGUAUCCCAGUGGUGCAGCCGCUACUAAAGGUUCGUUUGUUCAACGAUUAAAACCCUACGUG
Molecule: ribosomal RNA, 571 nt
Filed under: Craugastor sp. ENS_9595
Lineage: Eukaryota; Metazoa; Chordata; Amphibia; Anura; Craugastoridae
Description: partial large subunit ribosomal RNA
Rfam family: Bacterial large subunit ribosomal RNA
Source: RNAcentral